AUUCCAUGAUGGGGACAUUCUAGGAUGUAGUCUUAAAAGCGCUCCCAUGCUUCUAGAACAGAUUCAUCAUUUUGUUGCUGAAAGCUUGUAAUCUUCCCACGGAGAGC
This 107-nucleotide small nucleolar RNA is filed under the name Sorghum bicolor (sorghum). Its description in RNAcentral is "Plant small nucleolar RNA R71". It matches the Rfam family "Plant small nucleolar RNA R71". Rfam says of the family: R71 is a member of the C/D box family of snoRNAs containing the C (UGAUGA) and D (CUGA) box motifs. The record is from Rfam by way of RNAcentral. Lineage: Eukaryota; Viridiplantae; Streptophyta; Magnoliopsida; Poales; Poaceae.